UCAGAAUGCAUGCAGUUCUGUUUCCUGCCCUUCAAAGGAGUGCCAGGCUGGAGAAACUGUCAAGACCAAAGUGAAUCCACUGGACUCCUGCUGCCCCAUCACAUACUGUGAAUGUGAAAACUGCCCUAAUAUUCCUCAAUGCAGUCGUGAUGAAAAACUGGUGACUGUUUCUGCUGAAGGAACAUGCUGUCCUAAACUGAAGUGUGUGGUAAAGGCAGACGAAUGUGAUGUUCAAUACAGAACUGAGAAGAUCUGGAAUGGGAACUGCGUUGCGACAUUGGAGCUACCCUACUGCUCCGGAUUCUGUCUCUCGACUCACUUCUACAGCCCCAGCGAGGGGCGGCUGGUGUCCAGGUGUAGAUGCUGUGGGAUCGGAGAGACUGCAGACCUGCCAGUGCAGACAGUGUGUCCUGACAGCAGCUCCACCCCUGUGAUCAUCACCGUGCCCAGGACCUGCUCCUGCAAGCCCUGCGGAUAACCCAGCGGACUACAGCUCCCAGCCUGCAGGGGCCCGGGGGGGGGGG
This is a long non-coding RNA of Polyodon spathula (Mississippi paddlefish), 524 nucleotides long. RefSeq lists it as uncharacterized. The transcript has 4 exons. The record is from RefSeq and is a predicted model, not a curated record. Lineage: Eukaryota; Metazoa; Chordata; Actinopteri; Acipenseriformes; Polyodontidae.